GCCCCAUAUCCACCCCAUAGCAGCCCCAUAGCACCCACAUAGCGGCCCCAUAGCACCCCAUAGCGGCCCCAUAAGUGCCCAUGAUCACCUCAUAGCAGUCCCCAUAAGGCCCCAUAUCACCCCAUAGCAGCCCCAUAGCCCCCAUAGCGGCCCCACUAGCGCCCCAUAAGUGCCCCAUAGAACCCCAUAGUGCCCAUAUCACCCCAUAAGUGCCCCCAUAGCACCCAUAGCGGGCCCCAAUAUCACCCAACGAUAGCGCCCCAUAGUCACCCCAUAUUCACCCCAUACGGGCCCGCAUAGCACCCCAUAGCGGCCCCAUAUCACCCCAUGCGCCCCAUAUCACCCCUAGGUCACCCCAUGAUCACCCAUAGCGGCCCAUAGCACCCCAUAGGGGGCCCAACCCAUAGCGCCCCAUAAGCGCCCCCAAUCACCCAUAGCGCCCAUAAAGUUGCCCCAUAGCACCCCAUAGGGCCCCAUAUCACCCAUAGCGGCCCCAUAAGUUCGCCCGAUAUCACCCCAUAGGGCCCCAUAUCAGCCCAUGCUGCCCCAUAGUGGCCCCAUAUCACCCCAUUAGCAGCCCGCCAUAAGUGCCCCAUAUCACCCCAUAGUGCCCCAUAUCAACCCCAUAGUCACCCGUACGAGCCCCAUAGCACCCCAAGCGGCCCCAUAUCACCCCAUAGCGCCCCAUAAGUGCCCCAUAUUUCACCCCAUAGCAGCCCCAUAAGUGCCCCAUAUCACCCCAUAGGGCCCCAUAUCACUCAUAGCAGCCCCAUAAGGCCCAUUAGCGCCCCAUAGUGCCCCAUAUCACCAUAGCGCCCCAUAUCACCCAUAGCGGCCCCAAAUAUCACCGCCAUACAACCCCAUAGCGGCCCCAUUCACGCCCUAGCGCCCCAUAAGUGCCCCAUAUCACCCCAUAGCAGCCCCAUAAGUGCCCCCAUAUCACCCCAUAGGGCCCCAUAUCACCUCAUAGCAGGCCCCAUAAGUGCCCCAUAGCGCCCCAUAUCACCCCAGAGCAGACGCCCAUAAGUGCCCCAUACGCGCCCUAUAAGUGCCCCAUGAUCACCCCGAUAGGCCCCAUAAUCACCCCAUAGCGGCCCCAUAAGUGCCCCUCUCUGCCCCACAGGCGCCUGGCGCGAACCUUCAUGGCGAUGGGGACCACAAGGUUUGGGGCAUUUGGGUUUAUCUCCUUGGCGGGGUAUAUGGAAGUAUUUGGGCGG
Molecule: long non-coding RNA, 1217 nt
Filed under: Coturnix japonica (Japanese quail)
Lineage: Eukaryota; Metazoa; Chordata; Aves; Galliformes; Phasianidae
Description: lncRNA (ENSCJPG00005002690.1)
Source: RNAcentral